GUUCUUUAGAUUUUUAUUUAAGAUCAGGCCUGCCCAUUGAUUUUAAUUAUUAAAAGGCUGCGGUAUUUUAACUGUACUAAGGUAGCAUAAUCAUUUGUCUUUUAAUUGAAGGCUAGUAUGAAUGGUUUGAUGAAAAAUAAACUUUCUUUAAAAAAUUGUGAUGAAUUUAACUUUUUAUUUAAAAGGUUAAAAUUUUUUUAUAGGACGAGAAGACCCUAUAGAUGUUAACUAAAUUUAUAAAUGGAAUUUUUUGUUUUUAUUUUUUUUAUUUAGAAUAUUUAGUUUCGUUGGGGUGACGGUAAAAUUUUAAUAACUUUUAUUUUUUUUUUCAUAAAUUUAUGUUUUUUUGAUCCAAAAUUUUUGAUUAUAAGAUUAACUUACCUUAGGGAUAACAGCGUAAUUUUUUUGGAGAGUUCAUAUCGAUAAAAAAGUUUGCGA
RNAcentral lists this ribosomal RNA (438 nucleotides) under Rhagadotarsus kraepelini. RNAcentral's name for it is "partial 16S ribosomal RNA". The record is from RNAcentral. Lineage: Eukaryota; Metazoa; Arthropoda; Insecta; Hemiptera; Gerridae.